RNAcentral lists this ribosomal RNA (421 nucleotides) under uncultured bacterium. RNAcentral's name for it is "bacterial SSU rRNA". It matches the Rfam family "Bacterial small subunit ribosomal RNA", at positions 29 to 494 of the family's 1533-position model. The record is from RNAcentral.
AACGAACGCUGGCGGCAGGCUUAACACAUGCAAGUCGAACGGGCACCUUCGGGUGUCAGUGGCAGACGGGUGAGUAACGCGUGGGAACGUACCCUUCGGUUCGGAAUAACCCAGGGAAACUUGGGCUAACACCGGAUACGUCCGCAAGGAGAAAGAUUUAUCGCCGAAGGAUCGGCCCGCGUCGGAUUAGCUAGUUGGUGGGGUAAUGGCCCACCAAGGCGACGAUCCGUAGCUGGUCUGAGAGGAUGAUCAGCCACACUGGGACUGAGACACGGCCCAGACUCCUACGGGAGGCAGCAGUGGGGAAUAUUGGACAAUGGGCGAAAGCCUGAUCCAGCCAUGCCGCGUGAGUGAAGAAGGCCUUAGGGUUGUAAAGCUCUUUCAGCGGGAAGAUAAUGACGGUACCCGCAGAAGAAGUCCC